GAGCACGAAGCAUUUCUAGCUUCAAAAUUCUGACCGAACAGCCUCAUACUUCAAAGAUUUUCAUUACGCUACACCGAUGAUUUUUUUUGGAAGCCGGACAGAGUUGAGCAUAUUUUUUUUACAAUGUCUGACUCUUCUUUCUGCCACCACGAUUCACCACGUGUAAUGCAUCACAUUCCUGUGAUGCGAACAAUUUUGAGUUCACAGUACACCGUUGUCCUAACUCUGACCAUUGUAAACACACACACGUAUCAAACAGGACUUCAGGCGGCAGAACCACGAAUCAGACACCCGGGAAAGAACGUGAGCUGAAAAGCGGUUGACACGCCUGCUGAGUCGAUUUUUGGUCACCUAAUGCUUUAUUCGCUCUACGAGUCUAGAGUUCAAAUAUCAACGCAGGGUGAGCUUUCCAGAGAAUUUGAAUGUGGUCAGAUACGUGGCUUCUCUUCCGAGUGGUCUGGAUCUUGCUCUUCCUGGUUGGGUUGGGAACAUCCGGGGACCCAUCAGCCACGACCAAACCGAUGGUUCCGCCUCAAACUCUCAGAACUCAAAAGGAAAUAGAGGCGGCUAUGGUUAAGAGUGAGAUCAUACCUGACCUCUUUCUCGAAGCACCUAAAAAACUUCAGGCAGUACUUGUGGAAUUUGAAGGAAACUCUACCGCUGAUUUAGGAAAUCAUCUGCCACUUCGAGAUUUAAAGCAUCAAAUAAUACCAUUCAUCCAGUGGAGGGCAAAUGAAACGGAUUAUCACACUUUGAUGAUACUUAAUCUUGAUGUUCCCACAAGAGAAAAACCAUCACAGCGCGAGAUGUGACACAGCGGAUUGUCUGGCUUAGGGUGAACAUUCCAGGGUGCCAUGUCAUGCGUGGUCACCAAAUAAUCGAAUAUGAAGUGCCCAAUCCAGAGGAAGACACAGGAUCUCAUCGAUAUGUUGCUCUUGUUUAUUACCAGAAACAAGGCAAGCAAAAGUUUCGUGAGUUCGGACUCAACAUCGUACCUGGUAACCUACCGCAGGAGUGUAUUCGGCAAAAAUUUCAGUCUCGGUUUUUUGCAGCUGAUUACGACUUAGAUGGACCAACUGGCAUAAAUUUCUGGGAAACUCAAUGGGAGGAGAUAAUAUAAGCUCUGCAAACUUUGAACCUCAAUCGAUAUGAAAGUUUUAAUGGAUAUAUCUGUUAUUAAAUUGUAAUAAGUCAUUGAUUGAUGUUAUAUCUUAUUUUUAUAAUCAAUUCGUUACGUA
Non-coding RNA from Bemisia tabaci, 1238 nucleotides. The record is from RefSeq and is a predicted model, not a curated record. NCBI's taxonomy places the organism in Eukaryota, Metazoa, Arthropoda, Insecta, Hemiptera, Aleyrodidae.